CUACGGGCUGCUCCAGUGGGGAAUAUUGCACAAUGGAGGAAACUCUGAUGCAGCAACGCCGCGUGGAGGAUGACACUUUUCGGAGCGUAAACUCCUUUUAUAUAGGAAGAAGAUGACGGUACUAUAUGAAUAAGCGCCGGCUAACUCCGUGCCAGCAGCCGCGGUAAUACGGAGGGCGCAAGCGUUACUCGGAAUCACUGGGCGUAAAGGGCGUGUAGGCGGAUUAAAAAGUCAGAAGUGAAAUCCUAUAGCUUAACUAUAGAACUGCUUCUGAAACUCUUAAUCUAGAACAUGGGAGAGGUAGAUGGAAUUUCUGGUGUAGGGGUAAAAUCCGUAGAGAUCAGAAGGAAUACCGAUUGCGAAGGCGAUCUACUAGAACAUUAUUGACGCUGAGACGCGAAAGCGUGGGGAGCAAACAGGAUUAGAUACCCCUGUAGUC
Molecule: ribosomal RNA, 439 nt
Filed under: uncultured bacterium
Lineage: Bacteria
Description: partial 16S ribosomal RNA
Rfam family: Bacterial small subunit ribosomal RNA
Source: RNAcentral